This is a long non-coding RNA of Eupeodes corollae, 530 nucleotides long. RefSeq lists it as uncharacterized. The record is from RefSeq and is a predicted model, not a curated record. The transcript has 3 exons. Lineage: Eukaryota; Metazoa; Arthropoda; Insecta; Diptera; Syrphidae.
GAAACAUUUUUUGGAAAAGGAGUCCGUCAUUGAUUUAAUUAUUCGACGUUUCAACGAACCAAUUGAAUAUUUUAGAAAUCUACUCGAUGGAUACAUUGAGAAUUCUGAUCUCGGAAGUUCAUAUGAAUUUAAAUUUGAUUUUUCAAUUUUGCAUCCAUCAUCUACAAAAACGGGGACGAGCUGCUGCCCAUCAUCAGGAAAAUCCGAUCAUCAAAUGUGUGUUCUUAAUGAGAUUUUAAAUUCAUUCAAUGAAUCAUACAGCAGUGAAUGGAGCUUUUUACAACAUCCUUUAAUUGAAGUGUAUUUGAUAUGGAAAUGGCGACAUUAUCGAAGGUUUUUCUACAUUUUGGUGGCAGUACACAUUUUAUUUGUUGCAUUACUCUCGACGUCUUCGUUGAUGAUUGGAAACCAUUAUAGAAGGUUUUUAAAGGGUCAAAAUAAUAAAGAAUUGCAUCUCAGGAAUAACGACGAUACGGUUUUACGUUGGUUAAAUGUAAUUAACGUCUUGCUGCUAUUCUUCGGAUUUCAAC